Molecule: ribosomal RNA, 527 nt
Filed under: uncultured Mycoplasma sp.
Lineage: Bacteria; Bacillati; Mycoplasmatota; Mollicutes; Mycoplasmatales; Mycoplasmataceae
Description: bacterial SSU rRNA
Rfam family: Bacterial small subunit ribosomal RNA
Source: RNAcentral
UAUCAGAAAGUGACGGCAAACUAUGUGCCAGCAGCCGCGGUAAUACAUAGGUCACAAGCGUUAUCCGAAAUUAUUGGGCGUAAAGCGUCCGUAGGUUGUUUAUUAAGUCUGGAGUUAAAGACCGGUGCUCAACGCCGGCACGCUUUAGAUACUGGUAGACUAGAGUUAUAAAGAGGUGAGUGGAAUUUCAUGUGAAGCGGUGGAAUGCGUAGAUAUAUGAAAGAACACCAAUGGCGAAGGCAGCUCACUGGUUAUAUACUGACACUGAGGGACGAAAGCGUGGGGAGCAAACAGGAUUAGAUACCCUGGUAGUCCACGCCGUAAACGAUGAUCAUUAGUUGGUGGGAGAAUCUCACUAACGCAGCUAACGCAUUAAAUGAUCCGCCUGAGUAGUAUGCUCGCAAGAGUGAAACUUAAAGGAAUUGACGGGGACCCGCACAAGCGGUGGAGCAUGUGGUUUAAUUUGACGAUACGCGUAGAACCUUACCCACUCUUGACAUCCUCUGCAAAGCUAUAGAGAUAUAGUG